CCUACGGGAGGCUGCAGUGGGGAAUAUUGGACAAUGGGGGGAACCCUGAUCCAGCCAUGCCGCGUGUGUGAAGAAGGCCCUCGGGUUGUAAAGCACUUUCAGUGAGGAAGAACGCCUGGUGGUUAAUACCCAUCAGGAAAGACAUCACUCACAGAAGAAGCACCGGCUAACUCCGUGCCAGCAGCCGCGGUAAUACGGAGGGUGCGAGCGUUAAUCGGAAUUACUGCGCGUAAAGCGCGCGUAGGUGGCUUGAUAAGCCGGUUGUGAAAGCCCCGGGCUCAACCUGGGAACGGCAUCCGGAACUGUCAAGCUAGAGUGCAGGAGAGGAAUGUAGAAUUCCCGGUGUAGCGGUGAAAUGCGUAGAGAUCGGGAGGAAUACCAGUGGCGAAGGCGGCCUUCUGGACUGACACUGACACUGAGGUGCGAAAGCGUGGGUAGCAAACAGGAUUAGAUACCCUGGUAGUC
This 465-nucleotide ribosomal RNA is filed under the name Vreelandella stevensii. Its description in RNAcentral is "partial 16S ribosomal RNA". It matches the Rfam family "Bacterial small subunit ribosomal RNA", at positions 338 to 795 of the family's 1533-position model. The record is from RNAcentral. Lineage: Bacteria; Pseudomonadati; Pseudomonadota; Gammaproteobacteria; Oceanospirillales; Halomonadaceae.